Long non-coding RNA from Cyprinus carpio carpio, 767 nucleotides. NCBI's taxonomy places the organism in Eukaryota, Metazoa, Chordata, Actinopteri, Cypriniformes, Cyprinidae. The record is from Ensembl.
AUAAUAAGCACUAUUGGUUCAAAUUAAUUCAAUAUAUAUUAUUAUAGUUAAGAUGGAUGUGUGUGCUUGUUUGUGCGGGCGUGGGCGCGGCAUUGCGCGCAUUUAGAGAAGGAGUUCUCGCGAUACGUUUCAUUCAAGAAAAAGCAACGCUGAUGAUCGCGUCGCUUAAACUUCUUGAUUAAUGUCAUCCUUUACAGGUCAGCGGUCACGCCUCUUUCUUUCACUCGGCACGGCGGCAGUCGCUGGAGCCUGCAGGACGCGUGACAGCUCAACAAUGGCCCUGCCAACUUUAUCCUCAGAUGAGCUGAUCCAAACAUGACAGAAGGUGGUGUAACUAUGACAGAAGUUGAAGCACAGAAAUUCAGAGGGUGAACACAACACACCAUACCCAAUUGUCCAGGUGACCCAAGAAGACUGGAAGUCCACAUUUGAGGGACGAAGCUCCUGUUCCCUGAAGGUAGAGAAAGCCAUGAUCUCCUCGUUUUAUUCAUAUUUUGUUUUCAAUCUUGAAUACCAACCCAAAAACAAGAACACUCUGACCUUCCUCCAGCGAUGCAUUGCGAAAAUGCCAUCCAAGAUAACCAUGUCUUUCUUUCCUCAGUGGGAGAGAAAUUGUUUUUUGAGGAAAACAUUUCUGGAUUUUUCUUCUAACAAUGGAGUUCAUUGGUUACCAUCGUUUUUAAGUCCAAAUCAAUGCAGUUUCAAAAGUCUUUGAAGUGUUUAAACGGGCUGUACGCGAUCACAGCUGAAGAAGAGGUUGUUUUCUA